AACGCGUUGGUGAUCUGCCUUGAAGUGUGGAAUAACGUUUCGAAAGGAACGCUAAUACCGCAUGUGCUCUCGAUUUUCAGAAAGUUGAGAGUAAAGGAUUUAUUCGCUUCAAGAGGAGCCUGCGUCCCAUCAGCUGGUUGGUAGGGUAACGGCCUACCAAGGCUAUGACGGGUAGGGGACCUGAGAGGGUGGCCCCCACAAUGGAACUGAAACACGGUCCAUACACCUACGGGUGGCAGCAGUAGGGAAUAUUAGAAAUGGACGAAAGUCUGAUCUAGCAACACCGCGUGUGCGAAGAAGGCCUUCGGGUCGUAAAGCACUUUUUGGAAGGAAUAGGAAGGAAUGUACUUCCAGAAUAAGUCUCGGCUAACUACGUGCCAGCAGCCGCGGUAACACGUAGGAGGCAAACGUUAUCCGGAUUUACUGGGCGUAAAGCGCGUGUAGGUGGUACUGUAAGUAGGGCGUGAAAGCUCCUGGCUCAACUGGGAGAGGCCGUUCUAAACUACAGAACUAGAGGAUGGUAGAGGGAGGUGGAAUUCCAGGUGUAGCGGUGGAAUGCGCAGAUAUCUGGAGGAACACCGGUGGCGAAAGC
Molecule: ribosomal RNA, 592 nt
Filed under: uncultured bacterium
Lineage: Bacteria
Description: bacterial SSU rRNA
Rfam family: Bacterial small subunit ribosomal RNA
Source: RNAcentral